UUCCUGCAUCUGUACGAGUCAGGAGAGAGUCUGUGCUCCCAAAACCAAAGGCGAAGCCAACGACUACCAUGGCAACCAACAGGCCACCUGCAGCUGCACCUGUCGUGAGGCAAGAAUCCAGUAGUUCAUCAUCUGCACCAAAGCCACAGAGUAUUGAUGACUCGUACAUGGCAUUUUUGGAGGACAUGAAAGCACUUGGUGCCCUUGAUAAGUGAACUGCUUCAUCCAAUGGAAAGGUGCGAAAGCAACUACCCGAUCGCAUACAAAGUGGAAGAAAUCAUGUACAGACUAUUGUGAUGCAGGUAAGGGUUAUGCUAGGUCUGGAAGAAAGGAAAUUGUAAGGGUUAUGCUAAGUCUGGAAGAAACGAAAUUGUAUCUUAACUGAUUGACAAUCUUGUUUGUUUUUCUUUUUUUCUUUAUUUCAUGGUUUUCCGUACUUAUAUUGUGACAUUGGCUAUACAUUUGAGUUGGUCCUGA
Molecule: long non-coding RNA, 477 nt
Organism: Olea europaea var. sylvestris
Lineage: Eukaryota; Viridiplantae; Streptophyta; Magnoliopsida; Lamiales; Oleaceae
Exons: 2
Source: RefSeq, a predicted model, not a curated record